RNAcentral lists this non-coding RNA (101 nucleotides) under human gut metagenome. RNAcentral describes it as "SAM riboswitch (S box leader)". It matches the Rfam family "SAM riboswitch aptamer (S box leader)". From Rfam's summary of the family: The SAM riboswitch is found upstream of a number of genes which code for proteins involved in methionine or cysteine biosynthesis in Gram-positive bacteria. The SAM riboswitch acts at the level of transcription termination control. The record is from RNAcentral.
GUUAUCAAGAGCGGCGGAGGGACUGGCCCUGUGAAGCCCGGCAACAGCCAGCAUAGCUGGAAAUGUGCUAAAUCCUGCAGACAAAGUGUCUGGUAGAUAAU